UUAUUCAGCAAUGGAUAACUGAGUGGCGAACGGGUGAGUAACACGUGGGUGACCUACCUUUGAGUGGGGGAUAACGUCCCGAAAGGGACGCUAAUACCGCAUAACAUCCUGCCUUUGAACAGGCGGAGAUCAAAGCCGGGGAUCGCAAGACCUGGCGCUUGAUGAGGGGCCCGCGUCGGAUUAGCUAGUUGGUGAGGUAACGGCCCACCAAGGCGACGAUCAGUAUCCGUCCUGAGAGGGCGGACGGCCACACUGGGACUGAGCCACGGCCCAGACUCUUACGGGAGGCACCAGUGGGGAAUUGUUCACAAUGGGCGCAACCCUGACGACGCAACGCCGCGUGGAGGAGGAAGGUCUUCGGA
Molecule: ribosomal RNA, 362 nt
Filed under: uncultured bacterium
Lineage: Bacteria
Description: bacterial SSU rRNA
Rfam family: Bacterial small subunit ribosomal RNA
Source: RNAcentral